GUUCAACUCCCUUCCCUAAU
This 20-nucleotide transfer RNA is filed under the name Cyanopsitta spixii (Spix's macaw). Its description in RNAcentral is "partial tRNA-Met". Lineage: Eukaryota; Metazoa; Chordata; Aves; Psittaciformes; Psittacidae. The record is from RNAcentral.